CUGGACAUAAAGAACAGUUCUGGGCCGGGCGCGGUGGCUCACGCCUGUAAUCCCAGCACUUUGGGAGGCCGAGGCGGGCGGAUCACGAGGUCAGGAGAUCGAGACCAUCCCGGCUAAAACGGUGAAACCCCGUCUCUACUAAAAAUACAAAAAAUUAGCCGGGCGUAGUGGCGGGCGCCUGUAGUCCCAGCUACUUGGGAGGCUGAGGCAGGAGAAUGGCGUGAACCCGGGAGGCGGAGCUUGCAGUGAGCCGAGAUCCCGCCACUGCACUCCAGCCUGGGCGACAGAGCGAGACUCCGUCUCAAAAAAAAAAAAGAACAGUUCUGUAGCUGUCAGGGCCGGGGUGUACCGGGGCAGCCCAUGGUGGUAGAUAAAAACAGCUGUUCUGGAGUCAGAGUGACUUCUGUGCUGGUUCUUAUUCCGUUAGUUACUUGCCGCGUGCUGUCAAAGUCUUUGUAAAAGUGACGUGAAGAGAUUUUCAUGUUGGAAAGAUGACUAACUGCAUCGUAGAAUUAAUGUGAAAGGGUGGCCCAAGGAAGCAAGUUUCUUCACAGCUAUUGCAAUAAACAGGGUCUACUGGAGACCUUGGCUUUUUAUUUCCCUGACACAACUUCACACUGCUGGAGCAAUGCUUGGAUUGCUCUGGAAACACUGGCAAAUCUCAAGAUGCAGUUCAGGCUUCUCCAUGAUGAGUGUGAGUCCCUAGGCUGUCUCUCAAACUAAAGAUUCCCCAGCCAGGCAACUCUAAAGAGUCUUCGACAAGGCAACACAAUUACUCUGUGUGCUUAGAAGAAGAGGGGUCAUAAAUGUCAGCUGUUGCUCUUUGAGUCCUGCUAAUUCAUUCAUUGAUUCACUCAUCUUUCCCACAGGCAUGUGCUGUGCGUUUACUGUACUGCAUGACACUGUGGAGGUUAUAAAGAAAUAAAAUAUUUGGGGCUUACUCUCUAUGAAAUAAAAUUCUAAUUCUUUCUACCAUAUAUUCUUAUGUGAGAUCCCAGCCUGCUCUACCUGGUGCCUGCUCUACCUGUUACCUGGACUAGGGCAUUUCUGUAUCAGAUUAAAUUUAAAGGUGUUUCAAUAGUUAAUAAUGAUCAAACGUUAUAAAUAUUGGGAAACUAUAAUGGAUGAGGUGAAAAAGAAAAGGCCACUAAGUAGAAAAUUAGAUAAAAUAGACAUAUAUAAAAUUAAGUCAUGUGUUAUGGGCUAAACUGUGUCCCCCACAAAAUUCAUGUUGGGGUCAGUACCUCAGAAUGUGUCUGUAUUUGGAGACAGGGCCUUUAUAGAAAUAAUUAAAUUAAAAUGAGGUCACUAGGGUCAGCUCUAAUCCAACAAGAUGGGCAUCCUGAUAGGAAGAGGGAAUUUGGAUACAGAGGGAAGAUUAUAUAAAGACACGGGGAGAGGAUGACCAUCUACAAGACCAAGAGAGAGGCCUGUCCGUAAGAAACCAACCCUCAAGGAGAGAGGCCUUUCUGUAAGAAACCAACCCUGCCAGCACCCAGCUUUUGGAGCUCUAGUCUCCAGAAAUGUGAAAUAAAUUUCUUUUGUUUAAGCCA
Long non-coding RNA from Homo sapiens (human), 1553 nucleotides. Ensembl annotates it as long intergenic non-protein coding RNA 1309. Lineage: Eukaryota; Metazoa; Chordata; Mammalia; Primates; Hominidae. The record is from Ensembl.